Molecule: ribosomal RNA, 326 nt
Filed under: uncultured eukaryote
Lineage: Eukaryota
Description: partial 18S ribosomal RNA
Rfam family: Eukaryotic small subunit ribosomal RNA
Source: RNAcentral
CCCUUAGAUGUUCUGGGCCGCACGCGCGCUACACUGACGAAGUCAGCGAGCAUCUCCUUCGCCGAAAGGUGCGGGGAAUCUUGUGAAACUUUGUCGUGCUGGGGAUUGAUUUUUGAAAUUCUUGAUCAUCAACGAGGAAUUCCUAGUAAGCGCAAGUCAGCAGCUUGCGUUGAUUACGUCCCUGCCCUUUGUACACACCGCCCGUCGCUCCUACCGAUUGAGUGGUCCGGUGAGGCUUUGGGAUCUGAGCGGAAAGAGCGUUUCGCUGUUUCUGCUCGGAAAACUCAGUCGAACCUUAUCAUUUAGAGGAAGGAGAAGUCGUAACA